UCACCUUCAUGAGACUGUAUUUCUGUGUUUGUCUCCAUAGCAAUGCGAUUCGCAGUCUGAUAUAUUUAGAAGAAAUUAGCCUAAAAUAUUCAUGAGGUCUAGAUACAUUAUUUCGUUAAUAGGGAUAGAAUGGUGCUGGUAAUCCGUUGAUGAGCAUAACAUGAGGACGUAAGUGAGUGAAUUUAGUUGGGAUUGGAUGGGUGAGCGUGUGUGUGAGUGUGAGAGAAUCUGUGUAGUUCGUGGAGCGGGAUACCUCGGACGUUCACAUAAAGGAGACUGUGUAUGAGACUGUAGUUCACUAACUAAAAUGCUGGCGAUAUUACCAGUCUGACUUCUUGUCAUGCAAUGAUUGUUCAAUUAAAGGUCUGUGACAUGCUACUCCUUAGUUUCUUGUAAAAUCUUACUCAUGUCCAAGAGCAUUUUAAUCUCGUUCCUCUUUCAAACUUUAUUCGAAAGUCACAGGACAUGCCGGAAGCCGGAUCGGGCAGCUUACACUAAAUUAAGGAUGAUCCUCAUUGGACAUGUGUAUGAAAUCUUAGCAAGAGGAAACGAAACAUUGUCUACCCGUUAAGAUGAUUACUUCUCACAAGGAAACAAGUUUAUCUUAUUAUUUCUUGGCCUCUACAGGAAUUGAAGCUUCAGUCUGCAAUUUGUCAUUCUCGAGAAGGCAAUUCUAACAAUGAAUAAUGUGUACAUGUACAUCAUAAUGUUUGUUGUUCUGUGGGAGGCCGUAACAUCGACAGAAAAUUGUGCUAGUGUAGAAAUUCAUGGCAAUUUCUCAAACAAGAGAAUUCUGCUAGUUGAAGAGGAUGUUGAUGUGAACGUGACAUUUUAUGUGAACACUGAGACAUGUCCUGACACCAAUGGAUCUUGGCUUUUAAAGAUGAUGUCAGAUGAAGAGGGAAAGCAUGCUGUAGAAUGCAGGAUUGUCAUCGUAAACAGAACAUGUCAAGACAGACAACUUCUUCAAGCAUGCUAUUGCUUACACCCUCGGAAACUUUUUGUGCAGUUUGAAAGAUCGUUUAAUCAGGUUGAUUAUAAAAUCUUCUACUGGACUAGCUCACAGUACACGGAGAAGUUGGGGGAAGUCGUCUUCUUGAUCCGCAAGUCAGUAACGAUGAAUGAUUGCAAUGGUGUUAAGCUGGAGGUCGUUGAAGAUUUUGCCAAAAACGGGAUUGUUGUAGUCGAACAGAAUGAUAAUGUCAGUCUUACAUUUGAUGUCAACACUGACGCUUGUCAGAACAUACAGAAGCUGACAUUGUCAACACGUGAAAGAGAUUCACUAGUCGAUGUAUGCAAGAUUAUUUUCACAAACGGGACAUGCCAACAAUUCACGGUAGAACAACCAUGUUCCUGUGUGAACAGUACCAAGCAUCGUGUUCACUUUCACCAGUCGAUCACUGGGGUGGAUUAUAAAAUCUACAACUGGACUGCAACGUCGGAUACUUCCUUUCGACAAAAGCUAAUGGAAAUUAUCUUUGUCAUUCGAACACCCGCAAUGUUGACCAACUGUACGCAGAUUUUGAACAAAACGGAAGAAGAGUUCCAGUCCAGGCCCGUGUGCUCGUGCUCAUGUGACGGUCUGACUCUCAUCAUCGUUCUGGGCUCGUGUGUAGUCGUUGUUGUCACCAUCAGUGUCAUCUGCAUCGUCAAACUCCGAAGAAAGACUCGAGAUCUUUAUGAAGCUCUUCGAAAAGUAAGUACACAUUGAUGUCUUUUUAUUUGUUUCCAAAAUUUAUCUCUAGUGCCAAGAGACAUUUCAAUGUAGUAAAAAUGUGUCCGGUGAUAUCGUUUUCAGUAAAUACAAAGGCGUAACCUUUCUGCUUUUGAGUACUGCCAACAUGUCACAACAUGUAUUUGAUGUUUGAAGCAACAAGAUAAGACUUGACACAAGCUCAGCAAUAGUUUUCAUUGAGACAGAUGCUUAUCAGAUGCAGGUUUAAUUAAGACGUGUCUCCUCUUAGGUUUAACCCAGGGAGUUUCUUGGUCAGCCCUUUCAUGGCACCUUACUCGGUGUAGUGCUGGCCACCAGUUUCAAUGAUUACUUCGGCAAAUGUCUUUUCCAUUUACCAGGUAACCUAGCGCUGCCCUUUGAUGCGGAGAUGUGCUAUAAAUCUCAUCGUAACCACCCAAUGGCUUGAAGGAAACAAGACUAACGACACGGUCACAGCGUCUUGUACAUCAUCUUUUGUUAUUAUCCUAUUUUCAUCAUUUAACAAGUCUGCAAGAGCGGAAACCAGUCUUCUAUUGAGCAUAGAGAGUUGACUAAAAUGUAAUGAAUGGGUUAGGUAUAAGUCACCAACAUAUUAAAUUAAAUGUAUCAUACAGCUGUAUAUGUAGAAUCAAUCCAGCACUAUUAAAGUAUGAAGUGUUACAUUGGUUAUUUUGUUUAAUUAACGUUUGUUUUUAUUCAAAGGCCAUUACCUCACACUGAUUGUCUGACUGUUAUUUCUUAGUAUUUGCGGGUGCAAAUUCCACUUCACCUAAAUAUUACCUAUUACAUCAAGAACGUAAAACACACUUCCUACACCGACAGCAAACUCAUACACACCUACUAAAUCUGUAUGCCAUGCCAUCGUCUUACUUUUGUAAGGUACAUCAUUCUUAUUCUUCAUCAAUAUUAGUGACUCAUAUCAUUAGUGUAGUCAGAAAUUUAAAUAUGAAAGUAGUAAAUAGUGAAAAACACACACAUUAUUAUGCCAUACUAACACUCCUUUGUUUUGUCAUCAUGUUGUAUCAUUCAUUUUCUAUUUUAAAAGCUAGUUAGUAUCGAAAUUGUAUUGCUUUUGAUAAGACAGAUAUACCCAUUAGAUGCUUCUAACACAGUGGUUCUUAACCUUGUUUGAGGUAGCGAACCCACACGUUUCAUAUGCACAUUCACUGAACCCUUCUUUAGUUUCAUCACGAAUCCGGGUGUGUCUUGACCUCCGUGGCGGAGGCUACGCCAAACCCUUGAAACCGACUCACCGAACCCCAAGGGUUCGAUCAAACCCCGGUUAAGAACCACUGUUUUAACACAUUCAUACCUGAUAGUGAGAUAAACCGCAGAGACCAUGCAACACAGACGCACAAACUUUAUAAUGCAGUAGCCUUUUCUGUGGUAAAUAAAAUAAAAUGUGGUUGAAACGUUACUCCAAGAUGAAUUGUGAGUUGUUUGUUCUAGACUCCGCCAUCAACAUCCUGGAUGCGCUUACCGAUAAUUUUUAAUAUUUCUGUGUAUAUCUGAGUGUGAGAUCUGCUUUG
This 3243-nucleotide unclassified non-coding RNA is filed under the name Pomacea canaliculata. Its description in RNAcentral is "uncharacterized LOC112568211, transcript variant X2". The record is from RNAcentral. Lineage: Eukaryota; Metazoa; Mollusca; Gastropoda; Architaenioglossa; Ampullariidae.